Manis javanica (Malayan pangolin) is the source of this 5502-nucleotide long non-coding RNA. RefSeq lists it as uncharacterized. The record is from RefSeq and is a predicted model, not a curated record. NCBI's taxonomy places the organism in Eukaryota, Metazoa, Chordata, Mammalia, Pholidota, Manidae.
GCUGGGAUGGGGCAUCUUGGGCUCCCACCCUGGGGUCCGUUUGAAGCAGCUUCCUCUGGCUGCUUCACCCCAAGGCAUUGUUAUAGGCAUUAUACAAAUUAAUAUGUGUAAAGUGAUAGUACAGAUCCUGCUGCGUACUAAACAUGCGUUAAAUACUAAGUUACUACUACCCGUCAUGGCCGUGUGCGUCUUGGGGUGUGUCUGAGCUGGAGCUGAACCGGGCGGCUGGUAGUGAGUUAGUUGUUGUGAAAGAAUUUCUCCAAAGCUAUUUAAAAAACGCUGCUGGGUGUUGGAAAGCCCUGCCGGGCUCCUGCUGUCUGGCUGGGUCAGGCUCUUUUGUGCACCAGAUGUUAUCCAGAUGUCAUCUGGGGUCACUCCGAGAUUUGGCGCCUGCCUCUCUCCCGUGACCUGCACCCUCCCCGCCAUGUCUGCAAAUUCCCAGGGCCUGCGUUCUCGGGCUGCUUCUUGGCCGGAGUUCCUGCCCCUCAAACCCUUGCUCUCAGCUGCCUCUGGGGCCAGCCCUUUGGGGGAAACAGUUGCUGUUUUCUUGCCUCCCCCAAACCACCUGCACACAAUCUUUGCAUAGAUACCUGACUGCGCAAAGCUAGCCCCCCAGCCCCCGCAGGACGUGGCACUUCUCCCGAGACUCUGCCUCGAGGGUUUUAACUCCGUGCUCGCACUUGCAGUGAGCUUGUGUAGGAUGUUUUUUGACAAAAAUUCUGCCACCCAAAGGAAAAGUUUGCACACUUCUUGCACAACCCAGCAGUUUAUAGCCAGCUUAGAGUGCAGAGAGGAGGAUGCCCAAGGCCGAUCAACGGCAGCGAGCAGCUUCCGGGGCUCUUGAAGACUUGGAGGCAGGUAGGGGCACCCCAGUAUUGGCUGCGGGAAGCCGAGGCAGGGGGAGAGAGGAGCUGGCACAGAGCCGGAGGACGGACUGAGCGGCUCGGACAGAGCAGCAGCUCAGUCUUACCAAGAGGCCGACUCCUGGGAAAUCAGGCAAGACCCGCUUCGGAUAAAAUCUGCUGUGGAUUCUUCUGGCAGCCCCUGUAAUAAUCACCAAUGUUUUUUUGGGGGUGUGGCUAGUCAGAGCUCAGAGUUCAAAGCUGUUGCAAUCAAGCCUUGCACCGGACAGGGGUGGUAAGAACCUCCCUGGGCAGGGCUUGUUGGAAACAUGCAUGCCACUCAAGCCUGGAAUGGAGAACGGGGUCGUGCUGACCUUGACCGCAGUUCAGCACUUCUGUGACAAGGACCAAACUGUGCCUAAGUCUGUUCUCUGUAAGUCUCGCCUGGUCUCUGUGUAACUCACUGUACCACUGGGUGUCGGCUUGACUAGUAACCUGACCCUGGGAAUGGACUUUGAAGAGCAUAUUGUCCAGUGUUCCUUAACCGUUUCUGAAUCACAGACUCAUUUGGGGAUCUAACUGAAUCUAGAGACCACUUCUGACCCACGCCCCCAAAUAGAUUAACCCGCAUGAUAUUUUAGAUAGUUCUGUGGUGUCAUGGUUGCCCAGUCCAGGUUAAGAAUCUCUGAUUGUAGGUUGGCUCUCUCGUUUUACCCGAGAGGAAGCGGUCGCAGGAGACUUGCUCAGGGUUCCACAGAGAAUCUGUGACACAGUUGGGCGUCAGUCCAAUGUAACAAUAACUGUAGAACUGGAUGCAGACCUCGGUUCCAUCCCUUGCCAGCAAGAGCGGUAAUUGCCCCAUGCCUCAGUUUCCUCAUCUGCAAAACUGAGAUAAAAAUAAUAGUUGUUGUAUUUAUGAAAAAGUGAGACAAGCUGAUUCCUUAGCUUGCAAAUUUCUAGCUUAAUUGGAAGAUUGAACCAAAGAAUCCCGCCACCUAGUGGUUCUGUGGUGAAUAAAAUGAAAUGAGUGGCCCUGACACAUGCGCUGCCCAGGCAGGCGUCUCAGUCUGUGUGGUUACUGCCAGGGCAUAGUGGCUGCUUGUGUCUGAGCACCGUGUGUCUUCUUCCCAAGACAGUGUGUUUGGACAUUGUAGCUGUUUGCCUUUGCUGUGUAACAAACUACGCUAAAAUGUGCUGGCUUCAAACAAUGGUCACUUAUUAGCUCUUGAUUCUGUGGGUUGGAAUUGGGGCUGAGUUUAGCUGGGUGGUUUUCUUUUUUGCUGGCCUUGCUUAGGGCCACUCCCAGGACUGCAGUUAGCCGGUGGCUCGGCUGGGGCUCAGCCGUCUGGGAGGGCUUCAUGCACGCAUCUGCAGGCUGGGGCAAGCAGCAGGGCGGCGAGAGGUGCUAGGGACUUGACCUGCUGCCCUGGGCUUUGGAGAUGAGGAAGAGUUCUCGAGCUAAGGAAUGUGGGUGCCCCUAGAAGCUGGGGAUGGCCCUCAGUUGAGAACCAGACAGGAAACGGGGACCUCAGUCCUAUGACUGAGAAGAACUGAAAUCUGCCAGCAACUCUAGUGAGCCAGGAAAUGAAUCUUUCCCCGGACCCUCCAGAAAGGAGCUCCAGAAAGAUGCCUUCCAGCCACACAGGACAGUGGUUUCACAGCCACCUGUUGAAGGUGGUAGGUCCCUCUGUGAGUGGCUGAGGGUCCACGUGGAUGGUAAGUGGCCGCCAUGGGCACAUGAGGGUUUUCCCAGAGGUCUGGAGGUUGGGUGAGGCCUGCCCUGCCUUCGCCAGUCUCUGCUGCUUCUCCACAAAGCUUCGGUGUGCAGAGCCCACGGGUAUACUUGGGAAACUGAGGCCCAGAGCGGGGGCACCACAGGAGGGGUCCAGGUGACUGUGGUGGUUACCCCACCCCCCAGACUGAGGCCCCAGAGAGAGCAGGACGUGCAUGCUCUGUCCCUGCUCUGUGGGGACGCUUCACCAGCCAGGAGCAGGUGGCCACACUGUGGUCCCGAGGGGCUGAGCUUCAUGUUGCCUUGUCUGCCCUGUGCUGGGGGCACAGGGGGUGAGGGUCCUCGUGCUGGUAGAGAGGAGCUCCUGCCCUGGGUCCCCUGCCCCGAGAGGGUAGGAGCCUGCCCAGUGCCAGGUGACUGGGGAGCAGGGGGGCUGGGGAAGGGCCCUGGCCCCCACCUGUCACCGCCCCUCUCAUACUCCCAGCCCCGCCAUCCACGGUGGUCCUAUGGGUGGGGUGGGCAUCUCAAAGGUGUGGGCUCAGUGAUGGAGCUGGGAGGGCAUGGUGGGGGUCUGCUCUGCAGCCGAAGGGGGUCCCCUCCCAGCACCAUCUCCGUGGAGUCCUCAAAAGAAUGGGAGUCGCAUAAAAGCCACAGGGGGCCCCCAGCUGGGACCCUCCAGACCCCAUGACUUUCGGCUUCAGAGAUGGAUGGAUACCCUCAACUCCGAUGGAAGAGCCGCCCCUGAACCAGCAACUGGCUCACGGUGCGGCCCACAUCUGCCAAGAGCCUUUCCAGCGACGCUUGGGCCAAGCACCGUGCUGGGCUGAAUGACGGCGCACUGCAGCCUGGCUGGCGGGUGGGCACCAGCCUUCACGUCCCCGCCGCCACCCAGUCCGGCUGGGGGGCGCCCGUGGAGGAUGGGUCCUCUCGGCCUCAGGCUAGGAUCCCGGGGCCCCUCCAAAGCUGAGGAAGCCCCCUCCCUCUGGCCACUGGCGGAAGAAGAACCCGACAGUCCCCAGGCAGCAAGUCCCGCGCGCGGCGGGAAUGAACUCAGCUGCUCUCCUGCAGGAACUGCCUCAUCCCUCCCGGGGCAGGGGGAGGCGGAGGGAGCCUGGGGACAGCAGGGAAGUCAUCAAGGGCGCCCAUGAAAGGAAAUCCUGAAAGUGAUGCUCGGGAGACCGGUUUCCCCACUUCUCUGCUCUGAAACCAACUUGAUGUGGCAUGUGGGGGGAAACUGAGGCAAGGAGGGCGACUCUCUCAGAACCUCUCAGCCCAGGUGCCCUGGAGCUAGGACCCUGCUCCCCUGCAUGUCUUUUCUGGCCAUGCUCUCCCCCAUCCUCGCCUGGGAUUGGCUGCACACCCAGCCCCCAGCCACUACAUCCUCUUUCUGGCCACAGCGAUUCGCUCAGGAGUGGACAUAUAACACGCUCAGAGCCAAGGAGCGGUAAGAAAACUUACCGAGGAUUCUGGGGAAGCACGCUUGUUUUUUAUUUCUUUCCUUUCUUUAGGGCAACUGGAAGAGACUCCCAGUCUGGCCCUAGUCAGUGUGGUUGAGGUGGGAGAAACAGCAAGGCUUGUUCGUGGACCACAGGGUUGGGGCUGGGGCUGUAGAUGCUGUGUGGAGCCAGCACAUCAAGUGCAGGCAUAUGUGACGGCAGAGGGAAGGCACCUUGGUGAGGGCAUUUGAGCCCCUGGAUCAAACCUUACCUGAAGCUGUCUACUUUCAGUUAUGUGAGCCCAUAUUUAUUGUGAUGAUGAAGAUAAUACUACAUGACAUUAUGUAGCCCUUACUGCUUGCCAGACCCUUGUUCUAACCCCUUGACAUGUAUUGACCUAUUUAAUUUUCCCAACCACCCUCAGAUAUAGGUACUAUUACUCUCCCAUUGUACAGAUGAGAAAACUGAUGCAUAGACAGGUUAAGCAACUUCCCCAAGGCCGCAUAGCUGGGGUGGGCAGAGCCAGGAGGCCUGGACCCCUCUUCCUACGUGAGAUCUCACCUCCUGUUUCUGUUGCUUACACCCAAGGAGCCCUGACUGAUUCUAGGGGUGCCAGGGGAUUACAACAGGAGAGAGGAUGUUAGAGUCACUCCUUCACUACCCGGAACCCCUUUAGUGGGUCCCUGGGGCCCUGCAUGAUGCGGGCCCCACUCCCAGCUCCCACUGCAUCCCUGCCUCACUCAGCUCCAGGCCUACGGGCCUCCUCUCAGUUCCUCCAAAUCACCAAACUUAUUCCUGCCUCAGGGCCUUUGCCUUGCUAUUCCCUCUGCCUAAAAUGCCCUUCCUCUACUUCUGGUUAACCAAGCCAUGUCUUUAGGAAAAGGGGCCCCAUCCACCCUCACCCUGACCCAGUCUAGGUCAAUAGAGCCCAGAAUUCAUGAACACAAGCCCUGCAGGCAGUUGGCCUGGGUUCAAAUUCCAUUCCAUCCCUUCCUUGCUGUGUGACCUUGGGUCAUUACCUGACCUCUCUGCCUCAGUUCCAUUAUCUGUAAAAUGGGCUGAAAUCAUAUCUGUCUCACAGGUUUGAGAAAUAAAGGAGGCUAUUAUGUUAAAGUGAUUAGAACAGUUAGACACUUGAUAGUCAUUCAGGCAGCAAAUAAUGAUAGUUAUUACCAUCAUUAUAUUAUAUGUUAUAUAUAAUAACUAUUAUGAUGUAUAUUAAAUUAAUAUGUAUAUUAUAUAAAUGAUAAUAAUUAUAUAGCAUAUAAUAUUAUAUAUUAUGUAUCUGGUAUAUUAUUAUCAUUAUUAGAUACUUUUCUGUGACCAUCUGAUGAUUUUGUGUUUAUUAAAAUAGCAAAUGUUGCAAGCCAUGAGAUACAAUGUUUUCUUCUAUUGACAAGUGUAAAUAAUAUUCAUACAUCAACUAUAGUGCUGAAUUUGAAUACUAUCUUUAAAAUGGAAGCUUUUUCUUUUUCUUUUAUGCCUUCAGCUU